RNAcentral lists this ribosomal RNA (465 nucleotides) under Vreelandella stevensii. Its description in RNAcentral is "partial 16S ribosomal RNA". It matches the Rfam family "Bacterial small subunit ribosomal RNA", at positions 338 to 795 of the family's 1533-position model. Lineage: Bacteria; Pseudomonadati; Pseudomonadota; Gammaproteobacteria; Oceanospirillales; Halomonadaceae. The record is from RNAcentral.
CCUACGGGUGGCAGCAGUGGGGAAUAUUGGACAAUGGGGGCAACCCUGAUCCAGCCAUGCCGCGUGUGUGAAGAAGGCCCUCGGGUUGUAAAGCACUUUCAGUGAGGAAGAACGCCUGGUGGUUAAUACCCAUCAGGAAGGACAUCACUCACAGAAGAAGCACCGGCUAACUCCGUGCCAGCAGCCGCGGUAAUACGGAGGGUGCGAGCGUUAAUCGGAAUUACUGGGCGUAAAGCGCGCGUAGGUGGCUUGAUAAGCCGGUUGUGAAAGCCCCGGGCUCAACCUGGGAACGGCAUCCGGAACUGUCAAGCUAGAGUGCAGGAGAGGAAGGUAGAAUUCCCGGUGUAGCGGUGAAAUGCGUAGAGAUCGGGAGGAAUACCAGUGGCGAAGGCGGCCUUCUGGACUGACACUGACACUGAGGUGCGAAAGCGUGGGUAGCAAACAGGAUUAGAUACCCCGGUAGUC